Molecule: long non-coding RNA, 590 nt
Organism: Cucumis sativus (cucumber)
Lineage: Eukaryota; Viridiplantae; Streptophyta; Magnoliopsida; Cucurbitales; Cucurbitaceae
Exons: 2
Source: RefSeq, a predicted model, not a curated record
UGAAUAUGUAGUUGCAGUGUCUGACUUGUUGAAAUCCUUGAUUGCAAAGCUUGGGCAGCAAGAGGUCAGUCAAAAUGCUGAUUAGAACGCUAGAAGAACACUCGGCAGGAAGAAGCAUUUCAAUCCAGGAGAUUUAGCAGAUGCGCAAUGGGGCUACAAAAAGGAUGUCAAAUAGCAGGGUAAUUCUGGUGGAGAAGCCUAUUAUUAACACCAGUCAUUAGAGGCAAAUUCUGGUGGAGAGCCACAUCAUUGACAGUAGAUCCCGUGCCAUCAAAGCAGUAAACAGGGGCUUGCCAUUUCUCAUCCUCUAGCACGGCACCCACUUCAAAUGUCAUCACAUGAGCCUGUCUUCCUGCAAAAUUGGGGAAGGGAAAGGAAAAACACCAGUGAAUAGUGAAUGGCAAGAACUUAAGAAUGAAAGUGACGAUGUGAUUGUUGUCAAAGCAAACAUAGCUUAGCAGUGUUUGUAUUAUUUCUGUUUUUAUUAUGAACUAUAACGUGGCAUCAACGUUUUGUUUGAAGGCUAUUUAAAGUCUUGUUUGAUAGUUUUACUAUGAGUUAAGUUGUGGGCUUCUUUCAAGAUUACCCAA